CCUACGGGAGGCAGCAGUGGGGAAUAUUGGGCAAUGGGCGCAAGCCUGACCCAGCAACGCCGCGUGAAGGAAGAAGGCUUUCGGGUUGUAAACUUCUUUUCGCAGGGACGAAGAAAGUGACGGUACCGGAGGAAUAAGCAACGGCUAACUACGGGCCAGCAGCCGCGGUAAUACGUAGGUGGCAAGCGUUAUCCGGAUUUACGGGGUGUAAAGGGCGUGUAGGCGGGAAAGCAAGUCAGCUGUGAAAACCCUGGGCUCAACCUGUGGCCUGCAUUUGAAACGGUUUUUCUUGAGUACUGGAGAGGCAGCCGGAAUUCCUAGUGUAGCGGUGAACUGCGUAGAUAUUAGGCGGAACACCAGUGGCGAAGGCGGUCUGCUGGACAGCAACUGACGCUGAGGCGCGAAAGCGUGGGGAGCAAACAGGAUUAGAUACCCGGGUAGUC
Molecule: ribosomal RNA, 443 nt
Filed under: uncultured bacterium
Lineage: Bacteria
Description: partial 16S ribosomal RNA
Rfam family: Bacterial small subunit ribosomal RNA
Source: RNAcentral